Molecule: small nuclear RNA, 112 nt
Organism: Mesocricetus auratus (golden hamster)
Lineage: Eukaryota; Metazoa; Chordata; Mammalia; Rodentia; Cricetidae
Source: Ensembl
GUGCUCGAAUCCUCAGCACACAUACUAAAACUGGAAUGAUUCAGAGAAGAUUAGCAUAGCAUGGAACCUUCACAAGGAUGACAUGCAAAUGUGUGGAGCAUUCCAUAUUUAU